UCGACUAAGGUUCGAUUCGAGCGCAGCGAGAAAGCGUUGCCGCAGGCAACGACCCGAAGGGCGAAGCGCGCAGCGCUGAGUAAUCCUUCCCCCAUCACCA
This 100-nucleotide small RNA is filed under the name Salmonella enterica. RNAcentral describes it as "partial RtT sRNA". It matches the Rfam family "RtT RNA", at positions 32 to 130 of the family's 130-position model. From Rfam's summary of the family: This family represents a bacterial cis-regulatory element known as RtT RNA. The exact function of RtT is unknown although it is thought that it may be involved in changing the cellular response in relation to amino acid starvation. Lineage: Bacteria; Pseudomonadati; Pseudomonadota; Gammaproteobacteria; Enterobacterales; Enterobacteriaceae. The record is from RNAcentral.